UUCUCUGUUGCUUUAGAUAGCAUCGUCUAAAAACUGGUCACCCAAAGUUUAUGUAUCAAGCCACGCGACACAGGAAAGAGUGUUUCAGCUAUUACAACUUUGUUAUAAAUAGCAGCAAAAUGCACUCCAAACUAGAUCCCCGGACAUAAAUAGUUUGGAGUGCAUGUCUUCAUGCACUCCAAACUAGAUCCCCGGACAUGAAUGGUAACAGCUUACAACUAACGUUACCGUUACAUAGUACCGGCUAAUCAAAAUGCCGGCAAAAACCAAAAGCUCGCUUCUGACAAAAAAGAAUAACUUCCGCAGCGAAACUAAAUUAUGGAGUAAGUUUGCUCUUUUCCAU
This 343-nucleotide long non-coding RNA is filed under the name Setaria italica (foxtail millet). Its description in RNAcentral is "long non-coding RNA (SITA_LNC007408)". Lineage: Eukaryota; Viridiplantae; Streptophyta; Magnoliopsida; Poales; Poaceae. The record is from RNAcentral.